This 546-nucleotide ribosomal RNA is filed under the name uncultured bacterium. RNAcentral's name for it is "partial 16S ribosomal RNA". It matches the Rfam family "Bacterial small subunit ribosomal RNA", at positions 355 to 891 of the family's 1533-position model. The record is from RNAcentral.
UGGGGAAUAUUGCACAAUGGGCGCAAGCCUGAUGCAGCCAUGCCGCGUGUGUGAAGAAGGCCUUCGGGUUGUAAAGCACUUUCAGCGAGGAGGAAGGUGGUGAACUUAAUACGUUCAUCAAUUGACGUUACUCGCAGAAGAAGCACCGGCUAACUCCGUGCCAGCAGCCGCGGUAAUACGGAGGGUGCAAGCGUUAAUCGGAAUUACUGGGCGUAAAGCGCACGCAGGCGGUUUGUUAAGUCAGAUGUGAAAUCCCCGGGCUCAACCUGGGAACUGCAUUUGAAACUGGCAAGCUAGAGUCUCGUAGAGGGGGGUAGAAUUCCAGGUGUAGCGGUGAAAUGCGUAGAGAUCUGGAGGAAUACCGGUGGCGAAGGCGGCCCCCUGGACGAAGACUGACGCUCAGGUGCGAAAGCGUGGGGAGCAAAACAGGAUUAGAUACCCUGGUAGUCCACGCUGUAAACGAUGUCGAUUUUGGAGGUUGUGCCCUUGAGGCGUGGCUUCCGGAGCUAACGCGUUAAAUCGACCGCCUGGGGAGUACGGCCACAA